Molecule: long non-coding RNA, 705 nt
Organism: Salvia miltiorrhiza (redroot sage)
Lineage: Eukaryota; Viridiplantae; Streptophyta; Magnoliopsida; Lamiales; Lamiaceae
Exons: 2
Source: RefSeq, a predicted model, not a curated record
GGAAAUCACUCCCCCAUUUUAUGCGGCCUCUUCUCUACAAACCUCUCUAUCUCUCUCUCUUUCUCUCUCAUUUACAGAUUUUGAAGCAUCAAACCUCCCUCUACCUCCGCCGAUACAGCCGCCGCCACCGCACCUCCUUUCUUCCUCCUCCCUAAACCGUCGGAGGCCCAGCAAGAUCGUCGGGCCGUCACGAUUUUCACCAUCAAAAACCUCAUCUUCCUCUCUAUUUCAAUGGCGAGCGGCGAGAAUCCACGCCGCCCCCUUCUCCAUCAAAAACCUCAUCUCCCUUCUCUAUGUUUAAGCGUUUCCAAUUGGGGUUAUCUGGAGAGAUUGGAGGGGGAUUAUUUAUGUUCGAUCUUUAGCUUCCAUACUGGUUUUGUGACUCGACGCAAGAACUCAUUGGAGGCCAGCGCAACCGUGGAGAUCCGGUGUCUCAUCUCCAAAGAGAUCUCUCAUAGUCGGAUUCUUCAUCUGGGAAUUAAAUCUCUUUGCAGUCUCUGUCUAAUCUGCACUUUUAUUUUUCUUUUCGUCAAAAUAAAUGAUCAAUUUUGGAAUUUGGGGGAUAUUCACGUGUCCAUUAAAUAUGAAUAUAUCUGUUCAUUUAGAAAUUGUGUUCUGUUCAUUUAGAAAUUGAGUUCUGUUCAUUUAUGUUCAUGCGUCCAGUAAAUCUAAAUAAGAAAUCUGAAUAUAUUGUUCAUUUAGAAA